Small nuclear RNA from Equus asinus (donkey), 185 nucleotides. Its record names the gene U2. It matches the Rfam family "U2 spliceosomal RNA". Rfam says of the family: U2 is a small nuclear RNA (snRNA) component of the spliceosome (involved in pre-mRNA splicing). Complementary binding between U2 snRNA (in an area lying towards the 5' end but 3' to hairpin I) and the branchpoint sequence (BPS) of the intron results the bulging out of an unpaired adenosine, on the BPS, which initiates a nucleophilic attack at the intronic 5' splice site, thus starting the first of two transesterification reactions that mediate splicing. The record is from Ensembl. NCBI's taxonomy places the organism in Eukaryota, Metazoa, Chordata, Mammalia, Perissodactyla, Equidae.
AAAGCGUCUCAGCCUUUUGGCUAAGAUCAAGUGUAGUAUCUGUAGCUAGUCUAUAACCUGAUUGAUAUGUCCAUUUUACCCCAAUAUCAUACCAUUAUGAUUACUGUGGCUUUAUAUAGCAAAUCUUGAACUCAGGUAGUAUAAAUCCUCUAACUCUGUUCUUUGUCAAAAUGGUCUUGGCUAUU